Molecule: ribosomal RNA, 1510 nt
Filed under: human gut metagenome
Description: bacterial LSU rRNA
Rfam family: Bacterial large subunit ribosomal RNA
Source: RNAcentral
GUACUGUGAAGGAAAGGUGAAAAGAACCUCGAACAGAGGAGUGAAAGAGACCCUGAAACCAUGCGCCUACAAGCGGUCGGAGCAUGUUAAAAUGUGACGGCGUGCCUUUUGCAUAAUGAACCUACGAGUUACUCUCGCUGGCAAGGUUAAGCGAUUCAGUCGCGCAGCCGAAGCGAAAGCAAGUCCGAACAAGGCGUACAGUCAGCGGGAGUAGACGCGAAACCAAGUGAUCUACCCUUGGUCAGGUUGAAGGUUGGGUAACACCAACUGGAGGACCGCACCCACGCCUGUUGAAAAAGUCGGGGAUGACUUGUAGCUAGGGGUGAAAGGCCAAUCAAACUCGGAAAUAGCUGGUUCUCCGCGAAAACUAUUUAGGUAGUGCGGUGAGCGGACACCUUGAGGGGUAGAGCACUGAAAGAGCUAAGGGGGAGCGAUCCUUACUAAACUUUAUCAAACUCCGAAUACUCAAGAGUAAUACUUGCCAGACAGACAGUAGGUGCUAAGGUCUAUUGUCGAGAGGGAAAGAGCCCAGACCGUCAAUUAAGGUCCCAAAAUUAUGGCUAAGUGGUAAAGGAAGUGAAUUGUCCAAAACAGUCAGGAGGUUGGCUUAGAAGCAGCCAUCCUUUAAAGAGUGCGUAAUAGCUCACUAGUCGAGUAUCUCUGCGCCGAAAAUGUACCGGGGCUAAACAUAUUACCGAAGUUAUGGAUUUAUAAUUUAUUAUAAAUGGUAGGGGAGCGUUCUAAGGGCGCUGAAGGUAGAUCGUGAGGACUACUGGAGCGCUUAGAAGUGAGAAUGCCGGUGUGAGUAACGUAAGGUAGGUGAGAAUCCUACCCACUAUUUGACCAAGGUUUCCAGGGUCAAGUUCGUCUUCCCUGGGUUAGUCGGGACCUAAGGCGAGGCUGAAAAGCGUAGUCGAUGGACAACAGGUUUAUAUUCCUGUACUGCUUAUAGGACUGAUGGAGUGACGGAGAAAGCUAGGAAGAGCCAGUUAUUGGAUUCUGGUCUAAGCGUUUAGGUUGAUGCACAGGAAAAUCCGUGAUAUCGAUAAGACUGAAGCGUGAUGGCGACGUGGUCUACGGACCGCUAAGUCUUCUGAAGCUAUGCUUCCAAGAAAAACUUCUAAAGAUAUGUUAUAAGUACCCGUACCUAGAACCAACACAGGUGGUCAAGGAGAGAAUCCUAAGGUGAGCGAGAGAACUAUGGUUAAGGAACUCGGCAAAAUUACCCCGUAACUUCGGAAUAAGGGGAGGUUUCUUCGGAAACCCGCAGUGAAUAGGUCCAGGCAACUGUUUACCAAAAACACAGGUCUCUGCUAAAGCGUAAGCUGAUGUAUAGGGGCUGACGCCUGCCCAGUGCUGGAAGGUUAAGAUGAUUUGUUAGGUGGACGAAAGUCGAUAACACCGAAGCUUUGAUUUGAAGCCCCAGUGAACGGCGGCGAUAACUAUAAUCGUCCAAAGGUAGCGAAAUUCCUUGUCAGGUAAGUUCUGACCCGCACGAAAGGCGUAAUGA